CCUGAUCUGCAAGGGCAAGCAGAGGACUCAUGUGCUAGAGCGCACGACGGGGCCAACCACAAUGCACCUCAGUGCUGCUGAUACUGGGGUUUGCAGAUUGGUCUGCGGAGGAUGGUCAGAGUUUGGACAACCAAAGCUUCUCUCCGAGCUCAGAAGUCUUCAGUUCCAGCAUGGCCACUGUAUUAUUUUUGACGCCAAAUCUUGACCUCUUCUUUAGUGCUGUUAUGCCAAAUCUUGACCGGUUCACUAUCCAUAGGAGACGGGUUCGGACAGACCCCAUUGAUUCAUUAUGUAAAGCAACAGACCAAACGAUUCAGUGACCUGAUAGGAUAUGCUCCGAUCCUUUUUCAGAAAUGUAUUGCUCACUGUACCACAGGGCACCACAUAGCUUAACAAACCCAUGUCGCUACGACAUGUAUCAGCUACGUAGUAUUUCUACCUGUUGUAUGGAAUCGGGCUUUUUCUUAUGGGCAGAUUAAUGUGAUGUAUCGUAAAUCCGUUAAAUGCAUUAUCAGCAUGGUCACUCCAGA
This 530-nucleotide long non-coding RNA is filed under the name Triticum aestivum (bread wheat). Its description in RNAcentral is "long non-coding RNA (TAES_LNC027394)". The record is from RNAcentral. Lineage: Eukaryota; Viridiplantae; Streptophyta; Magnoliopsida; Poales; Poaceae.